RNAcentral lists this transfer RNA (66 nucleotides) under Concholepas concholepas. RNAcentral describes it as "tRNA-Trp". RNAcentral also lists the same sequence under 1 other name. Lineage: Eukaryota; Metazoa; Mollusca; Gastropoda; Neogastropoda; Muricidae. The record is from RNAcentral.
AAGGUUUUAAGUUAAGAAAACUAUAAGCCUUCAAAGCUUAAAAUAAAGAUAUACCUCUAAACCUUG